UUUAAAGGCCGAUAAAUAUAAGAAUGGAUUAAUUCUAAGGGACUUGACACCUUUGAAGCCUUACCAAAAGGCUUCUUACUCAUUUUACCAGCUAAACAUGACUCACAUUUAGGUAACUUAACCUUCGUAAGCCGAUCUAAAAGACCUUCUUUAGUUAGUCUACUCAUUCAGUCUUGACCAAUAUGGCUAAGUCUAGCAUGUCACUUAACAGAUUCAGAAUCACAAUCAAAGUGAGAAACAUAAACACUCAUAGAAUUAUUAUAUAUAUUAUCUUCCACGUCAAAAACAAAGAAAUUAUUUCUUAAAGACCCAUGACCAAAUACAUCGCCAUAUUAUAUAAUGUCUAAAGUAACAGGCUUAAAGUUAAAAGAGAAACUCAAUCUCAAUAAGGAAACAACUGAAAGUAAAUAAUAUUGCACCCCAAGUGCAUAGAGAGUAUCAUGAAAGAGUAAAGUAUUUCCUCCACGUAGCUUGAGCUAGUAUGUUCUGAUUCCAAGGACAUCCUCUUUGUUUUCGUUGCUCAAUACAAUAAUUUGCAAACCCACCGAGACACGAUGAUAGUCCACGAAUCCAGCUCGAUCUUGAACUACAUGUUUACUUGCUCCCGUGUCUACAAUCCAAUUAGGAAAAUAAUUAGCAACUAAUACAUGGGAGCAAACAAAUAAAUCAAGAGGCAAAAUAGAGAUA
RNAcentral lists this long non-coding RNA (687 nucleotides) under Carica papaya (papaya). RNAcentral describes it as "long non-coding RNA (CPAP_LNC009214)". The record is from RNAcentral. Lineage: Eukaryota; Viridiplantae; Streptophyta; Magnoliopsida; Brassicales; Caricaceae.